Molecule: ribosomal RNA, 497 nt
Filed under: uncultured bacterium
Lineage: Bacteria
Description: partial 16S ribosomal RNA
Rfam family: Bacterial small subunit ribosomal RNA
Source: RNAcentral
GAUGAACGCUGGCGGCGUGCCUAAUACAUGCAAGUCGAGCGAACAGACGAGGAGCUUGCUCCUCUGACGUUAGCGGCGGACGGGUGAGUAACACGUGGAUAACCUACCUAUAAGACUGGGAUAACUUCGGGAAACCGGAGCUAAUACCGGAUAACAUGUUGAACCGCAUGGUUUAACAGUGAAAGACGGUCUUGCUGUCACUUAUAGAUGGAUCCGCGCCGCAUUAGCUAGUUGGUAAGGUAACGGCUUACCAAGGCAACGAUGCGUAGCCGACCUGAGAGGGUGAUCGGCCACACUGGAACGGAGACACGGUCCAGACUCCUACGGGAGGCAGCAGUAGGGAAUCUUCCGCAAUGGGCGAAAGCCUGACGGAGCAACGCCGCGUGAGUGAAGAAGGUCUUCGGAUCGUAAAACUCUGUUAUUAGGGAAGAACAAAUGUGUAAGUAACUAUGCACGUCUUGACGGUACCUAAUCAGAAAGCCACGGCUAACUACGUG